CGAAUGCUGACAUAAGUAACGAUAAAGCGGGUGAAAAGCCCGCUCGCCGGAAGACCAAGGGUUCCUGUCCAACGUUAAUCGGGGCAGGGUGAGUCGACCCCUAAGGCGAGGCCGAAAGGCGUAGUCGAUGGGAAACAGGUUAAUAUUCCUGUACUUGGUGUUACUGCGAAGGGGGGACGGAGAAGGCUAUGUUGGCCGGGCGACGGUUGUCCCGGUUUAAGCGUGUAGGCUGGUUUUCCAGGCAAAUCCGGAAAAUCAAGGCUGAGGCGUGAUGACGAGGCACUACGGUGCUGAAGCAACAAAUGCCCUGCUUCCAGGAAAAGCCUCUAAGCAUCAGGUAACAUCAAAUCGUACCCCAAACCGACACAGGUGGUCAGGUAGAGAAUACCAAGGCGCUUGAGAGAACUCGGGUGAAGGAACUAGGCAAAAUGGUGCCGUAACUUCGGGAGAAGGCACGCUGAUAUGUAGGUGAAGUCCCUCGCGGAUGGAGCUGAAAUCAGUCGAAGAUACCAGCUGGCUGCAACUGUUUAUUAAAAACACAGCACUGUGCAAACACGAAAGUGGACGUAUACGGUGUGACGCCUGCCCGGUGCCGGAAGGUUAAUUGAUGGGGUUAGCCGCAAGGCGAAGCUCUUGAUCGAAGCCCCGGUAAACGGCGGCCGUAACUAUAACGGUCCUAAGGUAGCGAAAUUCCUUGUCGGGUAAGUUCCGACCUGCACGAAUGGCGUAAUGAUGGCCAGGCUGUCUCCACCCGAGACUCAGUGAAAUUGAACUCGCUGUGAAGAUGCAGUGUACCCGCGGCAAGACGGAAAGACCCCGUGAACCUUUACUAUAGCUUGACACUGAACAUUGAGCCUUGAUGUGUAGGAUAGGUGGGAGGCUUAGAAGUGUGGACGCCAGUCUGCAUGGAGCCGACCUUGAAAUACCACCCUUUAAUGUUUGAUGUUCUAACGUUGACCCGUAAUCCGGGUUGCGGACAGUGUCUGGUGGGUAGUUUGACUGGGGCGGUCUCCUCCUAAAGAGUAACGGAGGAGCACGAAGGUUGGCUAAUCCUGGUCGGACAUCAGGAGGUUAGUGCAAUGGCAUAAGCCAGCUUGACUGCGAGCGUGACGGCGCGAGCAGGUGCGAAAGCAGGUCAUAGUGAUCCGGUGGUUCUGAAUGGAAGGGCCAUCGCUCAACGGAUAAAAGGUACUCCGGGGAUAACAGGCUGAUACCGCCCAAGAGUUCAUAUCGACGGCGGUGUUUGGCACCUCGAUGUCGGCUCAUCACAUCCUGGGGCUGAAGUAGGUCCCAAGGGUAUGGCUGUUCGCCAUUUAAAGUGGUACGCGAGCUGGGUUUAGAACGUCGUGAGACAGUUCGGUCCCUAUCUGCCGUGGGCGCUGGAGAACUGAGGGGGGCUGCUCCUAGUACGAGAGGACCGGAGUGGACGCAUCACUGGUGUUCGGGUUGUCAUGCCAAUGGCACUGCCCGGUAGCUAAAUGCGGAAGAGAUAAGUGCUGAAAGCAUCUAAGCACGAAACUUGCC
Molecule: ribosomal RNA, 1524 nt
Filed under: Escherichia coli
Lineage: Bacteria; Pseudomonadati; Pseudomonadota; Gammaproteobacteria; Enterobacterales; Enterobacteriaceae
Description: partial 23S ribosomal RNA
Rfam family: Bacterial large subunit ribosomal RNA
Source: RNAcentral